Gasterosteus aculeatus (three-spined stickleback) is the source of this 1748-nucleotide long non-coding RNA. The record is from Ensembl. Lineage: Eukaryota; Metazoa; Chordata; Actinopteri; Perciformes; Gasterosteidae.
UAGCUCAACCUAUCAAAAGCACCCCGGGUCCUCCUGCUGCUGCUGCUGCUGCUGCUGGUUUUCCAGGUGCAUCGCAUUUAAGUCCUCCCCGCAAGGCCAGAGACCCGCCACGCAACUCCACUGGUAGGAUUUAAGUUUAGCGAUUACUUCUCCUCUCAAGUAAUGUCAGUUUGUUAAAGUCCUCUGUAAAGCUGAAAGAAAAAACAGGAUUGGGUCAAGUUGAUUCAAACAUGGACACCAUUAACCACUAUUAGUCACUUAAGUGUAAUGUGCUACUUCAUGUUGAAAAAACGUGAUAUUACUGUAAAGUACAAGCUGGUUCGUCAUUACUAAAAUCACAUUGAUGUAACGUCAUACUGUCAUCUGGCUUAUGGCUCCAUUUAAGGAAGACGGCAUGUUCUUCAUUCUCUAUAAGAACUUUGUUGAAAUGUGUCAUAACUCUAGUAAAUAUUAUGAAAUUCCAAAUUACCCCGUAAGGUAUUUAUAUGUUAUCCUAAUGUAUUUUGCAGAAUUUCAGUGCUCCUUCACCUCACGCACAGACUUACUGAAGUUUGCCACCGGUGGCGACUGUCGCUUCUGCUUGAAGAAGAUUCCAGCCACUGAGAGACAUUUGACGAAGAAACAUUAUCUUUUAGCUGUGAAAUUUACUGCAGGUGGCACUGGUAAGUUUUAUUACCAUUGAAACCAAAGUAUGAUUCAAUUCUACAAACAUGUUCUUUGAAGCGUGUUGGCAUCUACUGAGUAGGUUAUCGUUUCUCUUUUCAGAUCGAUUUGUUGUACCAUGCACGUGCACAGACUUGAUCCAGGGCAGAAGUCACUGGCACUGCCCGUAUUGCUCAAAGAUCAUUUAUCGGAAAUGUAACUUCGAGGUGCACAUAUCCAAACAACAUGGUCAUGCAAUACUGCCCCAAAACCGGGACAAAGACAUUGAUCAGCCCUCCGUCUCCGCCAUUGAAGAGGAGGUUCCCCGGAGUCCUGAACCCUGGUGUAAGCAGGAACAUGACAGUCUGGACCAGGAGGACCAGCGGGCCUCACUGUUGCGUGAUGUUAAAGAAGAAACGGAAAUCUGCACACGAGUGAGUCAUCCCGGGUGGCAGAACUCGGGUGAUCUGCAGAUUGACGGCGAGCAAAUACAAAAAGGUGACAUUCGAAUGAGUUCGGAGGAACAUCGCGCUCGAGACUCUGAAUUCAGCGUGGCCUUCCCGGGCGGUUACAUUCAAGACCUUAGCGAAAUUAACAGCGUGGAAAAAAUCAAGGGACAUCAGCUUCCCAAUUCUUCAAAUGACCCACUGGAAACGCUGCCGAACAGUGGGGUUGUGGGAAUAUGCCAGCCAACUGGGGAAUCUCAGCAAAGCGCACCUUGUUUAAAGGCACAUAGCAUCAAGAGGAAACUGCGUGUGAAGACAAAUAAGUCUUUGCCCACCUCGUGUUUGAACCUAAAGACUUCAACUCAGCCCGUCAGUCAGAAUCCCACCGGUCCCCAUUGUUGCAAAGCAUGUGGAAAGACUUUCUAUUACAUGUACACACUGAGGACACAUGUGCGUACACACGCCGGCGAUAAGAUCCGUAUUUGUGGAAUCUGUGGAAGACGUUUGGAGUCUACGGAGAGUUUAGUCCAGCACAUUCAGAACCACACCAAGAAGAACAAAUGUGGCAUCUGUGGCAAACAGUUUUCGAAUAAUUCCCGUCUGAAGCGGCAUCUGCGAUUUCACAGACCGAGGGGUCUGAAUAUCACGUCGUUGACUUAA